GGCUUCUACGGGGGGCAGCAGUGGGGAAUCUUGCACAAUGGAGGAAACUCUGAUGCAGCGAUGCCGCGUGAGUGAAGAAGGCCUUUGGGUUGUAAAGCUCUUUCGUCGGGGAAGAAAAUGACUGUACCCGAAUAAGAAGGUCCGGCUAACUUCGUGCCAGCAGCCGCGGUAAUACGAAGGGACCUAGCGUAGUUCGGAAUUACUGGGCUUAAAGAGUUCGUAGGUGGUUGAAAAAGUUGGUGGUGAAAUCCCAGAGCUUAACUCUGGAACUGCCAUCAAAACUUUUCAGCUAGAGUAUGAUAGAGGAAAGCASAAUUUCUAGUGUAGAGGUGAAAUUCGUAGAUAUUASAAAGAAUACCAAUUGCGAAGGCAGCUUUCUGGAUCAUUACUGACACUGAGGAACGAAAGCAUGGGUAGCGAAGAGGAUUAGAUACCCUCGUAGUCCAUGCCGUAAACGAUGUGUGUUAGACGUUGGAAAUUUAUUUUCAGUGUCGCAGGAAACCGAUAAACACACCGCCUGGGGAGUACGACCGCAAGGUUAAAACUCAAAUGAAUUGACGGGGACCCGCACAAGUAGUGGAGCAUGUGGUUUAAUUCGAAGAUACGCGCAGAACCUUACCAACACUUGACAUGUUCGUCGCGACUCUAAGAGAUUAGAGUUUUCGGUUCGGCCGGACGAAACACAGGUGCUGCAUGGCUGUCGUCAGCUCGUGUCGUGAGAUGUUGGGUUAAGUCCCGCAACGAGCGCAACCCUCACUUUUAGUUGCCAUCAUUAAGUUGGGCACUCUGAAAGAACUGCCAGUGAUAAGCUGGAGGAAGGUGGGGAUGACGUCAAGUCCUCAUGGCCCUUACGUGUUGGGCUACACACGUGCUACAAUGGCAUCUACAACAGGAAGCAAAACGGCAACGUUAAGCAAAUCCCGAAAAGAUGCCUCAGUUCGGAUUGCACUCUGCAACUCGAGUGCAUGAAGCUGGAAUUACUAGUAAUCGUGGAUCAGCGUGCCACGGUGAAUGCGUUCCCGGGUCUUGUACACACCGCCCGUCAAGCC
This 1049-nucleotide ribosomal RNA is filed under the name uncultured bacterium. RNAcentral describes it as "bacterial SSU rRNA". It matches the Rfam family "Bacterial small subunit ribosomal RNA", at positions 334 to 1403 of the family's 1533-position model. The record is from RNAcentral.